RNAcentral lists this ribosomal RNA (253 nucleotides) under uncultured bacterium. RNAcentral's name for it is "partial 16S ribosomal RNA". It matches the Rfam family "Bacterial small subunit ribosomal RNA", at positions 524 to 776 of the family's 1533-position model. The record is from RNAcentral.
UACGUAGGGGGCAAGCGUUGUCCGGAUUCAUUGGGCGUAAAGAGCGUGUAGGCGGUCAGGUAGGUCGGUUGUGAAAACUGGAGGCUCAACCUUCAGAGGUCGACCGAAACCCCCUGGCUAGAGUCCGGGAGAGGAGAGUGGAAUUCCUGGUGUAGCGGUGAAAUGCGCAGAUAUCAGGAAGAACACCCGUGGCGAAAGCGGCUCUCUGGAACGGUACUGACGCUGAGACGCGAAAGCGUGGGGAGCGAACAGG